Molecule: non-coding RNA, 199 nt
Filed under: Desulfosporosinus meridiei
Lineage: Bacteria; Bacillati; Bacillota; Clostridia; Eubacteriales; Desulfitobacteriaceae
Description: T-box sequence
Rfam family: T-box leader
About the family: Uncharged tRNA acts as the effector for transcription antitermination of genes in the T-box leader family. T-boxes are found upstream of many aminoacyl-tRNA synthetase genes and some amino acid biosynthetic genes usually in Gram-positive bacteria. The anticodon of a specific tRNA base pairs to a specifier sequence within the T-box motif, and the NCCA acceptor tail of the tRNA base pairs to a conserved bulge in the T-box antiterminator hairpin.
Source: RNAcentral
AGAAUUGCUGGGAUAGGGAAUAGUACUUUAGGAUCCUCUUUAGAGAAGCGGCGGAAGGUGCAAGCCGUUGUUGGUGACUAUGGGAACUCGCCCUGGAGCUGUGUUCAGGUUACAAUGAACACCGGUGUGAGCCGUUAUAAUCUUUCGAGGACUAUUUAAAAUUGGGUGGUACCACGGGAGUAGAUCUCUCGUCCCUUGA